Molecule: ribosomal RNA, 254 nt
Filed under: uncultured bacterium
Lineage: Bacteria
Description: partial 16S ribosomal RNA
Rfam family: Archaeal small subunit ribosomal RNA
Source: RNAcentral
CACCAGCGCCUCGAGUGGGGAUCGCGAUUAUUGGGUCUAACGCGUUCGUAGCAGGCUUUGUAAAUGCUUUGUGACAUCGGCAGGCUUAACCUGUCGGCGUGCAGAGUAGACUGCAGAGCUCGAGACCGGGAGAGGUUAGCAGUAUUCCUAGGGUACCGGUAAAAUGGGUUAAGCCUAGGAGGACUACCAAUGGCGAAGGCAGCUAACCAGAACGGUUCUGACUGUGAGGGACGAAAGCUAGGGGAGCAAAACGG